Gallus gallus (chicken) is the source of this 109-nucleotide microRNA precursor. NCBI's taxonomy places the organism in Eukaryota, Metazoa, Chordata, Aves, Galliformes, Phasianidae. The record is from Ensembl.
AAUGUGCCUUAGGAAAGGGAAUGGGUUGGGAGAAAGAGUCAUUACCUGACUUCUUGUUAUCGGGCUUCAGAGUUGACUCUUCCUUGCAGUUCUUGGCGAGCAGAACUUA